UACGUAGGGGGCAAGCGUUGUCCGGAAUCAUUGGGCGUAAAGAGCGCGUAGGCGGUCCGGUAAGUCCGCUCUGAAAGUCCGGGGCUCAACCCCGGGGAGGCGGGCGGAUACUGUCGGGCUAGAGUCCGGAAGAGGCGAGUGGAAUUCCUGGGUGUAGCGGUGAAAUGCGCAGAUAUCAGGAGGAACACCGGUGGUGUAGACGGCUUCUGGACCGACACUGACGCUGAGACACGAAAGCGUGGGUAGCAAACAGG
This 254-nucleotide ribosomal RNA is filed under the name uncultured bacterium. Its description in RNAcentral is "partial 16S ribosomal RNA". It matches the Rfam family "Bacterial small subunit ribosomal RNA", at positions 524 to 776 of the family's 1533-position model. The record is from RNAcentral.